GUGAAGCGAAAGCGGAAUGACCUGUUAAGUCAGAGCCAGCACAGGUGCUGCAUGGUUGUCGUCAGCUCGUGCCGUGAGGUGUUGGGUUAAGUCCCGCAACGAGCGCAACCCUCGUUGCCAGUUAAUUUCUCUGGCGAGACUGCCCGCAAGACGGGAGGAAGGUGGGGAUGACGUCAAAUCAGCAUGGCCCUUAUGCCUGGGCUACACACACGCUACAAUGGGUGGUACAAUGCGAUGCAAUGGAGUGAUUCGGAGCAAAUCGUAAAAACCAUCCCCAGUUCAGAUUGCAGGCUGAAACCCGCCUGCAUGAAGUCGGAGUUGCUAGUAACCGCAGGUCAGCAUACUGCGGUGAAUACGUUCUCGGGCCUU
Molecule: ribosomal RNA, 369 nt
Filed under: uncultured Chloroflexota bacterium
Lineage: Bacteria; Bacillati; Chloroflexota
Description: bacterial SSU rRNA
Rfam family: Bacterial small subunit ribosomal RNA
Source: RNAcentral